GUUGUGUUUUUGAAGAAGUAAGUUUAAAGUAAGUUUUAAUUAUUGCAGGGCUGUGAAACGGCUGCACACAUUGUCAUGACGCUUAUUGGUGCGUUUAUAUUAUGUGUCCUGUUCGAAUCUCCUAUUCACAACAUCGAAAAACUUCUAUUGAGGAAGUCAGGUGCAAGAAAAAGUCCUACUACAUAUUCUGACUCCAAAGAUGUGGACAACACAAAAACCGAUACACGAUAACGGUAAGAACAGUAAUAUCUAAGUAGUUAAUUGAAAGUAGAAAGGAAUAAAUUGUGUAUAAAUAAUUGCAACCUCAAGAAAACAUUUAAAAACAAUUUAUUACAAAAAAGAAAACAAUAAAUACACGCAGUAUAGCGGCCAACGUGA
Dalotia coriaria is the source of this 378-nucleotide long non-coding RNA. RefSeq lists it as uncharacterized. The record is from RefSeq and is a predicted model, not a curated record. Lineage: Eukaryota; Metazoa; Arthropoda; Insecta; Coleoptera; Staphylinidae. The transcript is spliced from 2 exons.